This 119-nucleotide ribosomal RNA is filed under the name Melitaea cinxia (Glanville fritillary). Lineage: Eukaryota; Metazoa; Arthropoda; Insecta; Lepidoptera; Nymphalidae. The record is from RNAcentral.
UUAAACGUCCAUACCACGUUGAAUUCACCGGUUCUCGUCCGAUAACUGAAGUUAAGCAACAUCGGACGCGGUCAGUACUUGGAUGGGUGACCACCUGAAAACACCGCGUGACGUUGGCU